UUCCAUUUAAGAACACUUUAUUUGGCUCACUUUCAAAUCGUUCUUCUCAAAACAGCAGAAGCGAACAAAACGAUCAAAGCAGAUCGCCGACUUAAAACACAGCGAAGAAAACUUCUGGUAGAUAAAAAAUCAACUUCUUGCGGUCAUCUUUCCAGUAACAGCAAUAUUAUAUUACAUUAUAUAUAUACAUUACGUGAUACAUAUGUAUAUAGAGAGAGAGUACAUGUUAUAUAAUAUAUAUUACAUUAUAUAUUUAAUAUAUAUCUUAUCUUACAUCAUAUAUAUAAUAUAUAUCUUAGAUAUAGAGGAUAUCACAUAAUAUUACAGUAACAGUAAUAUUUUCUGUUUGUGCUGAUCAUUCCAUUGAUCGUUUCAACUGUCAGUCCUCGAGGAAGGCAAAACAGGCUCCAUUUCUACAUGGUCGGAGUCUUCCACAUCAGCCGAACUGGUUUCUCUUAAAUCAAGUUUCACAUAGCUUUCUGAAGUCGUGUCGAUCGUUUCUUAAACCAACUUUCACAUCUGUUUCUUAAAUCAAGCUUCACAGAGUUUUCUGAAGUCCUGUCGAUCGUUUCCUAAAUCAGGUUUCACUUCUGUUUCUUAAAUCAAGUUUCACUUCUGUUUCUUAAAUCAAGUUUCACAUCUCUUUCUGAAGUCGUGUCGAUCGUUUCUUAAACCAACUUUCACAUCUGUUUCUUAAAUCAAGCUUCACAGAGUUUUCUGAAGUCCUGUCGAUCGUUUCCUAAAUCAGUCCUCGAGGAAGGCAAAACAGGCUCCAUUUCUACAUGGUCGGAGUCUUCCACAUCAGCCGAACUGGUUUCUCUUAAAUCAAGUUUCACAUAGCUUUCUGAAGUCGUGUCGAUCGUUUCUUAAACCAACUUUCACAUCUGUUUCUUAAAUCAAGCUUCACAGAGUUUUCUGAAGUCCUGUCGAUCGUUUCCUAAAUCAG
This 946-nucleotide long non-coding RNA is filed under the name Equus caballus (horse). RNAcentral describes it as "lncRNA (ENSECAG00000049089.1)". The record is from RNAcentral. Lineage: Eukaryota; Metazoa; Chordata; Mammalia; Perissodactyla; Equidae.